GAACGAAACCUUUAGGGGUUGAGUGGCGGACGGGUGAGUAACGCGUGAGAAUCUGGCUUCAGGUCUGGGACAACCACUGGAAACGGUGGCUAAUACCGGAUGUGCCGAGAGGUGAAAGGUUAACUGCCUGAAGAUGAGCUCGCGUCUGAUUAGCUAGUUGGUGGUGUAAUGGACUACCAAGGCGACGAUCAGUAGCUGGUCUGAGAGGACGAUCAGCCACACUGGGACUGAGACACGGCCCAGACUCCUACGGGAGGCAGCAGUGGGGAAUUUUCCGCAAUGGGCGAAAGCCUGACGGAGCAAUACCGCGUGAGGGAGGAAGGCUCUUGGGUCGUAAACCUCUUUUCUCAGGGAAGAACACAAUGACGGUACCUGAGGAAUAAGCAUCGGCUAACUCCGUGCCAGCAGCCGCGGUAAUACGGAGGAUGCAAGCGUUAUCCGGAAUGAUUGGGCGUAAAGCGUCCGCAGGUGGCGAUGUAAGUCUGCUGUUAAAGCGUCUAGCUCAACUAGAUAAGAGCAGUGGAAACUACAGCGCUAGAGUGCGUUCGGGGCAGAGGGAAUUCCUGGUGUAGCGGUGAAAUGCGUAGAGAUCAGGAAGAACACCAGUGGCGAAGGCGCUCUGCUAGGCCGCAACUGACACUGAGGGACGAAAGCUAGGGGAGCGAAUGGGAUUAGAUACCCCAGUAGUCCUAGCCGUAAACGAUGGAUACUAGGCGUGGCUUGUAUCGACCCGAGCCGUGCCGUAGCUAACGCGUUAAGUAUCCCGCCUGGGGAGUACGCCGGCAACGGUGAAACUCAAAGGAAUUGACGGGGGCCCG
Molecule: ribosomal RNA, 818 nt
Filed under: Nostoc sp. 'Nephroma expallidum cyanobiont' 75_Hansen_31_July_1998
Lineage: Bacteria; Bacillati; Cyanobacteriota; Cyanophyceae; Nostocales; Nostocaceae
Description: bacterial SSU rRNA
Rfam family: Bacterial small subunit ribosomal RNA
Source: RNAcentral